Molecule: ribosomal RNA, 1560 nt
Filed under: Escherichia coli TOP293-2
Lineage: Bacteria; Pseudomonadati; Pseudomonadota; Gammaproteobacteria; Enterobacterales; Enterobacteriaceae
Description: bacterial SSU rRNA
Rfam family: Bacterial small subunit ribosomal RNA
Source: RNAcentral
AGAGUUUGAUCAUGGCUCAGAUUGAACGCUGGCGGCAGGCCUAACACAUGCAAGUCGAACGGUAACAGGAAGCAGCUUGCUGCUUUGCUGACGAGUGGCGGACGGGUGAGUAAUGUCUGGGAAACUGCCCGAUGGAGGGGGAUAACUACUGGAAACGGUAGCUAAUACCGCAUAACGUCGCAAGACCAAAGAGGGGGACCUUAGGGAGGCUGCGGGCCUCUUGCCAUCGGAUGUGCCCAGAUGGGAUUAGCUAGUAGGUGGGGUAACGGCUCACCUAGGCGACGAUCCCUACGCUGGUCUGAGAGGAUGACCAGCCACACUGGAACUGAGAGGAUGACCAGCCACACUGGAACUGAGACACGGUCCAGACUCCUACGGGAGGCAGCAGUGGGGAAUAUUGCACAAUGGGCGCAAGCCUGAUGCAGCCAUGCCGCGUGUAUGAAGAAGGCCUUCGGGUUGUAAAGUACUUUCAGCGGGGAGGAAGGGAGUAAAGUUAAUACCUUUGCUCAUUGACGUUACCCGCAGAAGAAGCACCGGCUAACUCCGUGCCAGCAGCCGCGGUAAUACGGAGGGUGCAAGCGUUAAUCGGAAUUACUGGGCGUAAAGCGCACGCAGGCGGUUUGUUAAGUCAGAUGUGAAAUCCCCGGGCUCAACCUGGGAACUGCAUCUGAUACUGGCAAGCUUGAGUCUCGUAGAGGGGGGUAGAAUUCCAGGUGUAGCGGUGAAAUGCGUAGAGAUCUGGAGGAAUACCGGUGGCGAAGGCGGCCCCCUGGACGAAGACUGACGCUCAGGUGCGAAAGCGUGGGGAGCAAACAGGAUUAGAUACCCUGGUAGUCCACGCCGUAAACGAUGUCGACUUGGAGGUUGUGCCCUUGAGGCGUGGCUUCCGGAGCUAACGCGUUAAGUCGACCGCCUGGGGAGUACGGCCGCAAGGUUAAAACUCAAAUGAAUUGACGGGGGCCCGCACAAGCGGUGGAGCAUGUGGUUUAAUUCGAUGCAACGCGAAGAACCUUACCUGGUCUUGACAUCCACGGAAGUUUUCAGAGAUGAGAAUGUGCCUUCGGGAACCGUGAGACAGGUGCUGCAUGGCUGUCGUCAGCUCGUGUUGUGAAAUGUUGGGUUAAGUCCCGCAACGAGCGCAACCCUUAUCCUUUGUUGCCAGCGGUCCGGCCGGGAACUCAAAGGAGACUGCCAGUGAUAAACUGGAGGAAGGUGGGGAUGACGUCAAGUCAUCAUGGCCCUUACGACCAGGGCUACACACGUGCUACAAUGGCGCAUACAAAGAGAAGCGACCUCGCGAGAGCAAGCGGACCUCAUAAAGUGCGUCGUAGUCCGGAUUGGAGUCUGCAACUCGACUCCAUGAAGUCGGAAUCGCUAGUAAUCGUGGAUCAGAAUGCCACGGUGAAUACGUUCCCGGGCCUUGUACACACCGCCCGUCACACCAUGGGAGUGGGUUGCAAAAGAAGUAGGUAGCUUAACCUUCGGGAGGGCGCUUACCACUUUGUGAUUCAUGACUGGGGUGAAGUCGUAACAAGGUAACCGUAGGGGAACCUGCGGUUG